This 893-nucleotide long non-coding RNA is filed under the name Coturnix japonica (Japanese quail). RNAcentral describes it as "lncRNA (ENSCJPG00005008191.1)". Lineage: Eukaryota; Metazoa; Chordata; Aves; Galliformes; Phasianidae. The record is from RNAcentral.
AUUGGAAUCAACAGUGAAAACAUUAAAGAGAAAAGGCCUUAAAAUGGAGCCCCACAGAAUCCCACUGGUGACAAGUAAGAGCAACUGUCAGGCCACAGACUCCCCUUUCUCAACACAGCCAUGUUUUGGUUGUCAGAGGACAUACUUAGGGUCACAUAACCAGUGCCUUAGUAUGUCAUGAGGCACCUCCCUACCAAACUGCUGUGUUCCUUUGGUAGAAUCCACAUCAGUUGUGACACCAGCCAGCCAACAAAGGCAGGCAGGGGCUGCAGCACCAGUCAGCCAGCACGGGCAGGGACCAUGACACUAGCCAACACUACCAAGGCAAGGCAAGGGCUGUGAUUCCAGUGAGCCAGCCCUGCCAAGGCAAGCCAAGACAGGCAGGGGCUGCGACACCAGCCAAGGGAAGGUGAACUUCACCAUAAGAAGACAAUAUGCAAACAAUGGGUGGAGUAUGUACGUAGCCAAACUGGUACAAAUUCCUUCAACAUGAGACAAAAAAAAAAAAAAAAAAAAAAAAGAAAAAACCACCAUAUGUAAGACUGUACUGCCUGAAUUGGAAGCACACUGACUUCAAUAUAUGUGCCAAAGUGCUAGAUAUUGAACUGUUACCCUAUCUGAGAACCAGAAAUUUGAACUGUGUGGGAAGAUUUGGGAUGCCACAUGAAACAGCAGGCACCUCCAGCACUAUCCCUUGGCAUUACACAAUUGAAAAGAGAAAGCUCCCUUUAGGAACCGGAAGAGGAAACAUUAGCAUCCUUACCAGAGGAAAAGAUUAUAGUCACCUGAUCAUUAAACAGCCUGCCAAAUGAAGUUACAGAGUCAUUGCUGCUUAAAACACAACACCCAUCAGAAAAGCCAGAAGUAAUAAAUGUCUUGCCAAACUAGUUACA